This 751-nucleotide ribosomal RNA is filed under the name uncultured bacterium. RNAcentral's name for it is "bacterial SSU rRNA". It matches the Rfam family "Bacterial small subunit ribosomal RNA", at positions 347 to 1099 of the family's 1533-position model. The record is from RNAcentral.
GGCAGCAGUGAGGAAUAUUGGACAAUGGAUGGAAAUCUGAUCCAGCCAUGCCGCGUGCAGGAAGACGGCCUUAUGGGUUGUAAACUGCUUUUAUACGGGAGCAAUAAGGGUUACGAGUAAUCCGAUGAGAGUACUGUAUGAAUAAGGAUCGGCUAACUCCGUGCCAGCAGCCGCGGUAAUACGGAGGAUCCGAGCGUUAUCCGGAAUUAUUGGGUUUAAAGGGUGCGUAGGCGGCCAUUUAAGUCAGCGGUGAAAUUUUGCAGCUUAACUGUAACAGCGCCGUUGAUACUGUUUGGCUAGGAUUUGGUUGUAGUGUGCGGAAUGUGUGGUGUAGCGGUGAAAUGCUUAGAUAUCACACAGAACACCGAUUGCGAAGGCAGCACACUAAGUCAUUAUUGACGCUGAGGCACGAAAGUGUGGGGAUCAAACAGGAUUAGAUACCCUGGUAGUCCACACUGUAAACGAUGAUAACUCGCUGUCGGCGAUACACAGUCGGUGGCCAAGCGAAAGCAUUAAGUUAUCCACCUGGGGAGUACGACCGCAAGGUUGAAACUCAAAGGAAUUGACGGGGGCCCGCACAAGCGGAGGAACAUGUGGUUUAAUUCGAUGAUACGCGAGGAACCUUACCCGGGCUCGAACGGUGCAUGAAUAUACGAGAGAUUGUAUAGUCCUUCGGGACAUGUAUCGAGGUGCUGCAUGGUCGUCGUCAGCUCGUGCCGUGAGGUGUCGGCUUAAGUGCCAUAACGAGCGC